GGUGUUCAGAGACACGAGGGGGAUUAGUGGUUCAUGAUCAAACGAGGUCAGAGGGGCGGGAUGGAGCGCGAUCUGACCGGACAGCGUUAUUUACAGCCAUGCACUCUGCAGG
Molecule: long non-coding RNA, 112 nt
Organism: Salarias fasciatus (jewelled blenny)
Lineage: Eukaryota; Metazoa; Chordata; Actinopteri; Blenniiformes; Blenniidae
Exons: 3
Source: RefSeq, a predicted model, not a curated record